Molecule: non-coding RNA, 74 nt
Organism: Fukomys damarensis (Damara mole-rat)
Lineage: Eukaryota; Metazoa; Chordata; Mammalia; Rodentia; Bathyergidae
Source: Rfam
GCCACGUCCUGCUCAGAAAGGUACUGGUCACUUGCACUAUAUGUAACCAAGGCCUUUCUGAGUACAGUAGGGCU